This 277-nucleotide ribosomal RNA is filed under the name Klebsiella pneumoniae. Its description in RNAcentral is "partial 23S ribosomal RNA". It matches the Rfam family "Bacterial large subunit ribosomal RNA", at positions 2099 to 2375 of the family's 2925-position model. The record is from RNAcentral. Lineage: Bacteria; Pseudomonadati; Pseudomonadota; Gammaproteobacteria; Enterobacterales; Enterobacteriaceae.
CUUUACUAUAGCUUGACACUGAACAUUGAGCCUUGAUGUGUAGGAUAGGUGGGAGGCUUUGAAGCGUGGACGCCAGUCUGCGUGGAGCCAACCUUGAAAUACCACCCUUUAAUGUUUGAUGUUCUAACGUUGGCCCCUGACCGGGGUUGCGGACAGUGUCUGGUGGGUAGUUUGACUGGGGCGGUCUCCUCCCAAAGCGUAACGGAGGAGCACGAAGGUUAGCUAAUCCUGGUCGGACAUCAGGAGGUUAGUGCAAUGGCAUAAGCUAGCUUGACUG